This 254-nucleotide ribosomal RNA is filed under the name uncultured bacterium. Its description in RNAcentral is "partial 16S ribosomal RNA". It matches the Rfam family "Bacterial small subunit ribosomal RNA", at positions 524 to 776 of the family's 1533-position model. The record is from RNAcentral.
UACGGAGGAUCCAAGCGUUAUUCGGAGUGACUGGGCGUAAAGAGUUGCGUAGGGGGUUUGUUAAGCAAAUAGUGAAAUCUUGUGGCUCAACCAUGAGGCUAUUAUUUGAACUGGCAAACUUGAGAAUAUGAGAGGUAGAUGGAAUUCCCAGUGUAGGAGUGAAAUCCGUAGAUAUUGGGAGGAACACCAAUGGCGUAGGCAGUCUACUGGCAUAUUUCUGACCCUGAGGCACGAAAGCGUGGGGAGCGAACCGG